AGAGUUUGAUCCUGGCUCAGGACGAACGCUGGCGGCGUGCUUAACACAUGCAAGUCGAACGAGGCACUUGUGCCUAGUGGCGAACGGGUGAGUAACACGUGAGCAACCUGCCCCUGGCUCUGGGAUAGCCUCCGGAAACGGGGAUUAAUACCGGACAUGACCUGCUGCGGCAUCGCGGCGGGUGGAAAGUUUUUCGGCCGGGGAGGGGCUCGCGGCCUAUCAGCUUGUUGGGGGGGUAACGGCCCACCAAGGCGACGACGGGUAGCCGGCCUGAGAGGGCGACCGGCCACACUGGGACUGAGACACGGCCCAGACUCCUGCGGGAGGCAGCAGUGGGGAAUAUUGCACAAUGGGGGAAACCCUGAUGCAGCGACGCCGCGUGCGGGAUGAAGGCCUUCGGGUUGUAAACCGCUUUCACCACAGACGAAGCGCAAGUGACGGUAUGUGGGGAAGAAGCGCCGGCUAACUACGUGCCAGCAGCCGCGGUAAUACGUAGGGCGCGAGCGUUGUCCGGAAUUAUUGGGCGUAAAGAGCUCGUAGGCGGCCUGUUGCGUCUGCUGUGAAAUCCCGGGGCUUAACCCCGGGCGUGCAGUGGAUACGGGCAGGCUGGAGGCAGGCAGGGGAGAACGGAAUUCCCGGUGUAGCGGUGAAAUGCGCAGAUAUCGGGAGGAACACCGGUGGCGAAGGCGGUUCUCUGGGCCUGUUCUGACGCUGAGGAGCGAAAGCGUGGGGAGCGAACAGGAUUAGAUACCCUAGUAGUCC
Molecule: ribosomal RNA, 762 nt
Filed under: uncultured bacterium
Lineage: Bacteria
Description: bacterial SSU rRNA
Rfam family: Bacterial small subunit ribosomal RNA
Source: RNAcentral